GGCACAGUGGAUCAGCUCAGACCAAGUGCGAUGUCGUUGACAAUCCUCUUUGAUUUCUAGUGUAUAUCAAAUUGUUGUGGAGGAAGAACGCCCCCGAAGAACGAAGAAGACAACAGAAGUCCUGAAGUGCUACCCGGUGCCCAUUCACUUCCAGAACGCUUCCAUACUGAACUCUCAGUACUACUUCGCGGCAGAGUUUCCAGCGGACAGCCUGCAAGCAGCUCAGCCUUUCACUGUUGGGGAUAACAAGACCUACAGCGGAUACUGGAACACUCCUCUGCUCCCCCACAAAAGCUACAGAAUUUAUUUCCAAGCUGCUAGUCGAGCCAAUGGGGAAACCAAAAUAGACUGUGUUCGAGUGGCCACAAAAGCUGCGAUAAUCGUGACUCAGCUUACA
Oryctolagus cuniculus (rabbit) is the source of this 397-nucleotide non-coding RNA. The record is from RefSeq and is a predicted model, not a curated record. NCBI's taxonomy places the organism in Eukaryota, Metazoa, Chordata, Mammalia, Lagomorpha, Leporidae.